RNAcentral lists this ribosomal RNA (442 nucleotides) under Verrucomicrobiota bacterium. RNAcentral's name for it is "bacterial SSU rRNA". It matches the Rfam family "Bacterial small subunit ribosomal RNA", at positions 1 to 436 of the family's 1533-position model. The record is from RNAcentral. Lineage: Bacteria; Pseudomonadati; Verrucomicrobiota.
AUAACGGAGAGUUUGAUUCUGGCUCAGAACGAACGCUGGCGGCGUGGAUAAGACAUGCAAGUCGAACGAUGAUUUCAGGGUAGCAAUAUUCUGAAGUUAGAGUGGCGAAAGGGUGCGUAACACGUGGGUAAUUUGCCGUGAAGUUGGGGAUAACUUGCUGAAAGGCGAGCUAAUACCGAAUGUGGCCUAACAAGGCUAAAGUUGGGGACCGUAAGGCCUGACGCUUCAUGAUAAGCCCGCGGCCUAUCAGCUAGUUGGUGAGGUAACGGCUCACCAAGGCUAAGACGGGUAGCUGGUCUGAGAGGACGACCAGCCUCACUGGAACUGAGACACGGUCCAGACACCUACGGGUGGCAGCAGUCGAGAAUUUUUCUCAAUGGGGGAAACCCUGAAGGAGCGACGCCGCGUGGGGGAUGAAUGGCUUCGGCCCGUAAACCCCUGU